UUUUCCCCGUGAUCUACAUAUCAAUAAGCGGAGGAAAGAAACUAACAAGGAUUCCCCUAGUAACUGCGAGUGAAGCGGGAAAAGCUCAAAUUUAAAAUCUGGCAGUCUUUGGCUGUCCGAGUUGUAAUCUAGAGAAGUAAUGCCCGUGCUGGACCGUGUAUAAGUCUCCUGGGAUGGGGCGUCAUAGAGGGUGAGAAUCCCGUCUUUGACACGGACUACCAGUGCAUUGUGGUAUGCUCUCAAAGAGUCGAGUUGUUUGGGAAUGCAGCUCAAAAUGGGUGGUAAAUUCCAUCUAAAGCUAAAUAUUGGCGAGAGACCGAUAGCGAACAAGUACCGUGAGGGAAAGAUGAAAAGAACUUUGGAAAGAGAGUUAAACAGUACGUGAAAUUGCUGAAAGGGAAACGCUUGAAGUCAGUCGCGUUGGCCAGGGAUCAGCCUUGCUCUUGCAUGGUGUACUUUCUGGUUGACGGGUCAGCAUCAAUUUUGACCGCUGGAAAAGGGCCUGGGGAAUGUGGCAGCUUCGGCUGUGUUAUAGCCCCUGGUCGCAUACAGUGGUUGGGAUUGAGGAACUCAGCACGCCGCAAGGCCGGGUUUCGACCACGUUCGUGCUUAGGAUGCUGGCAUAAUGGCUUUAAGCGACCCGUCUUGAAACACGGACCAAGGAGUCUAACAUGCCUGCGAGUAUUUGGGUGGAAAACCCAAGUGCGUAAUGAAAGUGAAAGUUGAGAUCCCUGUCGUGGGGAGCAUCGACGCCCGGACCAGAACUUUUGGGACGGAUCCGCGGUGGAGCAUGUAUGUUGGGACCCGAAAGAUGGUGAACUAUGCCUGAAUAGGGUGAAGCCAGAGGAAACUCUGGUGGAGGCUCGUAGCGAUUCUGACGUGCAAAUCGAUCGUCAAAUUUGGGUAUAGGGGCGAAAGACUAAUCGACCAUCUAGUAGUGGUCUGCGUAUUUCCCCCCCCCCAAGAAAA
This 969-nucleotide ribosomal RNA is filed under the name Agaricus sp. RN-2023a. Its description in RNAcentral is "partial large subunit ribosomal RNA". It matches the Rfam family "Eukaryotic large subunit ribosomal RNA", at positions 24 to 980 of the family's 3401-position model. Lineage: Eukaryota; Fungi; Basidiomycota; Agaricomycetes; Agaricales; Agaricaceae. The record is from RNAcentral.